GACGAACGCUGGCGGCGUGCUUAACACAUGCAAGUCGAACGGAAAGGCCCUGCUUUUGUGGGGUGCUCGAGUGGCGAACGGGUGAGUAACACGUGAGUAACCUGCCCUUGACUUUGGGAUAACUUCAGGAAACUGGGGCUAAUACCGGAUAGGAGCUCCUGCUGCAUGGUGGGGGUUGGAAAGUUUCGGCGGUUGGGGAUGGACUCGCGGCUUAUCAGCUUGUUGGUGGGGUAGUGGCGUACCAAGGCUUUGACGGGUAGCCGGCCUGAGAGGGUGACCGGCCACAUGGGGACUGAGAUACGGCCCAGACUCCUACGGGAGGCAGCAGUGGGGAAUAUUGCACAAUGGGCGGAAGCCUGAUGCAGCAACGCCGCGUGCGGGAUGACGGCCUUCGGGUUGUAAACCGCUUUCGCCUGUGACGAAGCGUGAGUGACGGUAAUGGGUAAAGAAGCACCGGCUAACUACGUG
RNAcentral lists this ribosomal RNA (468 nucleotides) under uncultured bacterium. Its description in RNAcentral is "partial 16S ribosomal RNA". It matches the Rfam family "Bacterial small subunit ribosomal RNA", at positions 28 to 507 of the family's 1533-position model. The record is from RNAcentral.